GGACAAAUAGCUCCAACGGUAGAGCAGCGGGUUGAAGCCCCGUGGUUGCAAGUUCGAAUCUUGCUUUGUCCACGA
Molecule: transfer RNA, 75 nt
Filed under: Flaviaestuariibacter flavus
Lineage: Bacteria; Pseudomonadati; Bacteroidota; Chitinophagia; Chitinophagales; Chitinophagaceae
Description: Flaviaesturariibacter sp. 17J68-12 tRNA-Phe
Rfam family: tRNA
About the family: Transfer RNA (tRNA) molecules are approximately 80 nucleotides in length. Their secondary structure includes four short double-helical elements and three loops (D, anti-codon, and T loops).
Source: RNAcentral